RNAcentral lists this ribosomal RNA (245 nucleotides) under uncultured bacterium. Its description in RNAcentral is "partial 16S ribosomal RNA". It matches the Rfam family "Bacterial small subunit ribosomal RNA", at positions 524 to 768 of the family's 1533-position model. The record is from RNAcentral.
UACGUAUGUCCGGAGCGUUAUCCGGAUUUAUUGGGCUUAAAGCAAGCGCAGACGGUUGAUUAAGUCUGAUGUGAAAACCCGGAGCUCAACUCCGGAAUGGCAUUGGAGACUGGUUAACUUGAGUGCAUUAGAGGUAAGUGGAACGCCAUUUGUAGCGGUAGAAUGUGUAAAGAUAUGGAAGAGCACCAGUGGCGAAGGCGGCUUACUGGACUGUAACUGACGUUGAGGCUCGAGAGUGUGGGUAG